GACGAACGCUGGCGGCGUGCUUAACACAUGCAAGUCGAGCGGAAAGGCCCUUCGGGGUACUCGAGCGGCGAACGGGUGAGUAACACGUGAGUAACCUGCCCCAGACUUUGGGAUAACCCUCGGAAACGGGGGCUAAUACCGGAUACGACACAGCUUCGCAUGGGGUCUGUGUGGAAAGUUUUUCGGUUUGGGAUGGGCUCGCGGCCUAUCAGCUUGUUGGUGGGGUGAUGGCCUACCAAGGCGACGACGGGUAGCCGGCCUGAGAGGGCGACCGGCCACACUGGGACUGAGACACGGCCCAGACUCCUACGGGAGGCAGCAGUGGGGAAUAUUGCACAAUGGGCGGAAGCCUGAUGCAGCGACGCCGCGUGAGGGAUGACGGCCUUCGGGUUGUAAACCUCUUUCAGCAGGGACGAAGCGUAAGUGACGGUACCUGCAGAAGAAGCGCUGGCCAACUACGUG
Molecule: ribosomal RNA, 462 nt
Filed under: uncultured bacterium
Lineage: Bacteria
Description: partial 16S ribosomal RNA
Rfam family: Bacterial small subunit ribosomal RNA
Source: RNAcentral